GGCCCGGAAAGUUGAAAUCAGGAAGGUUGAUCGCUUGUCAUUCAUUAUUCAGCCCUAUCGAAGCCCCCAGUGUUCGAUGCUUGCCGUUUGUUUGUUCUCUUCUCGCUGAUCUAGUUAAUCCCAUAUAAAAUAAGUAAUUACCAUCUAGUUGGCCAUUUUAUUCAAACGGCCCAUCCUCAUCGGAUUGAACACUAUCAGGAACGUUUUCCUCCGAUGUCUGCAACCCAGCGACGAAGACUGACUUACAUAGAAAGCGGGUCCAUAGUUCGAAUUAGUAAAAGCACGCGCACGCGCACGCUCACACUCACGCUUGUUCCUGACUCCUGAGACCUGCCGAAGCAAUCUGCGGUUUGAUCGUCCGCUGAUCCGCGCAGGCUUAAAUAGAACGGUUAAACGGUAGUAUCAUAGUACAAGAAUUGAUUAGACAGAAAAACGUGGUUGGGGACAGAUUGUCUGUUUCAGAUUGCAUAUUGGCAACGUGAAAAGGCGGCGUUUUGGGCUAAAACACACCUGCCAGCCUUGAGACUGGAGCCCAGCAGCUAAGCUGUCUUUAGUGAACGAAGCGCCCGGCGGCAGAUCGCCUGGCGCUUGGCUGUGGAUGAUGUGCCGUGCUUUUUGAUGGUUGAUUCUCUCUUUUUCUUUUUCUUUUUCUUUUUCCGCCUUCUUUACUUUUUUGAUCGAUAACAGAUCAUGUUAAUGUAUGUACCGAAGGGCGGCCAACUUGAUAUUUUGAUAGAUAUUUGAAACAGAGAUUGUCUUCAUCCCCGUUGUGUGUUUCCUACUUAAAAGUUGCCCACCGGAUAAGGUUCGCGGGGGUCUCGCAGCCACUUCUUGGAUAAGUGAAGCCCAUCUUAAUGAAUUGCAUUAUUGCAGCAGCCCAAUGACGCCAUAUUCCGCCUCCCCGGGAAUCAAAGCUGGGGAAUUUGGGAGAAGCUUUUUUGUCGAAGUCUGUGAGGGCUUGUGGCAUCCAAAGCAGGUGUCAAACAGAAUAGUCGAUGUC
RNAcentral lists this small RNA (1000 nucleotides) under Histoplasma capsulatum. Its description in RNAcentral is "hypothetical RNA". Lineage: Eukaryota; Fungi; Ascomycota; Eurotiomycetes; Onygenales; Ajellomycetaceae. The record is from RNAcentral. RNAcentral also lists the same sequence under 1 other name.